RNAcentral lists this long non-coding RNA (247 nucleotides) under Helianthus annuus (common sunflower). RNAcentral's name for it is "sRNA HanXRQr2_Chr17g0797641". Lineage: Eukaryota; Viridiplantae; Streptophyta; Magnoliopsida; Asterales; Asteraceae. The record is from RNAcentral.
AUGGUGUUUGGUUUAUCAAGGUUUUGUUCUACUGUAGGACAUGUUGAAGGUUUCUGUGUUGAUGUUGCUGGGUUUGCUCUCAGUGUUGAUUCGGUAACUUGAUGGUCUACUUUGCUUUUUUGCUUUGUGUAAGCAAGGACAAAGCCAAAAGAAUAGAAGUUUUGAGACAAGUCUUCCAUUUGCUUCUUUGGAGGUGUAGUUUCUGAGGAAAAAUAUCUGAUACUUCACUUAAAUCAAGUUUGACUAA